CCCCAGACUAAGUGCUUCAUCUGCGGAAUAGGAAGUGACUACUUUGACACGACUCCGCAUGGAUUUGAAACACAUACUCUGGAAGAGCACAAUUUGGCCAACUACAUGUUCUUCCUGAUGUAUUUAAUCAAUAAAGAUGAGACGGAGCACACUGGACAGGAAUCGUAUGUGUGGAAGAUGUACCAGGAGCGAUGCUGGGACUUCUUCCCAGCCGGUGACUGUUUCAGAAAGCAAUAUGAGGAUCAGCUCGGCUAACUCUCAGUGCCAUAGAGUAUAUGAUAUAGUGUGUGUGCUUGUGUGUGUGUGUGUGAGGGCGUGGGGGUGUGUCUGAGGAAAAUAAUGCCAACAAAGUAGUAAUGCCAUCUAAAAAAAACAAGAAACAGAAACGAAAUUUUUAUUUUUUCAAUUUGAGUAACUAAACUACCCAUACUCUGAAGCACACACUCACACCCUGAGCCUUUUACCUACCUGUGUGUGUGUGUGUGUGUGAGUGCGUGAGUGAAUAAGUGAAAGAGAGUGUGAGUUGAGAGAUGAAUAAUAAGCAGUGUGUGUGUUUUUUUGUGUGUGAAAGAGAGAGAGGGAGCAGAAUGAGGACGAUUGUACACACAGCCUUUCUAUUUUAUUAUUGAGGGAAAAUGUUUAAAGGAUAAAACGAUCCCUCGGUUCCUCCCUCCUUCUCUCAGUCCCGUCUUCGUGUCGUUACGGAUCUUAAAACAUCACAGUGCCUAAUACUGAAUCAGCUACAAUGAUGAGAAGUAUGAAGAUAUUCUACUGCUUUAUUGGGAGUCAGUAUUGAUCUUUUUUUAGACGCAGUAAGUGAAUGAGUAUUUAAGACUUUAGUGUAAAGUAUGUACGUUUUUUGUCUAUAUUUAUUUAUGUGUAUAUAGACGUUACACGUGCCGGAGCCACAGAACUAGAGCCACUUCACUGCUGAUCUCCUGCUCUGUGAGCUACUCACGGUUUUAAUCCAGGCUGUUGCUCUGUGCGGCGGUAAAUAUAUAUAUGACCGUUUGUAUAGAAACACACUUCUUAUGAGAAAAGAAAGAAACUCUAAAUGCCUUCCUCACUCCGUUUCUUUCUGUAGACGAUUUCUUAUAAACUACUUAAACUACGAACUCUCUUUUUUAACUGUUGUUGGUGGUGAGACAUGAGCUUUGAGCCAGUACUUUGUACUUAUCUUCAACAACCUAUUCUGCACUCCAAAGUCUUAGGAUGAGACACUGUUUCCAUCCCCCUGUUACACACAUUUUUCUUUUACUUACUUCUACAGAAACACUGUUAGCUGGAAAAGUCCAGCAAACGGAUGUAUGAAAAUAUAGAAAUACAGUAUUUACGGCCUCCUGUCUACACUCUUAAAAAUAAAGACGCUUCAGGUGUUUUUUUAAUAGAUGCCGUUAAUAGAGGUUCUACCAUUUAUUAAAAUUGACUAAAUUUUAAUGACUAGGGAUAUUGUAAAUAAUAGUUAAUUGAGACGUUUCUUUAGACCUUUUAAAGGUCCUUCACACUCACAAACCAGAAAAAAAAAAAAAUUCUCCCCCGAUACCAAAUAUUAAUCUUCCAAAAUCUGGUGUUUAUUAGACGCUCACUCAUCACUUGGAACGCUGCCCCAGAAGUGGGCCAGAUGCGUUGCCAGAAAUUGUAAUUCUAAAAAAUCUGUUUGUUACACUAGUGGUUCGGGAAAAUGUUUAGGUAUAAUUAUUUUAUUUAUUUAUUUAAUUUUGGAGGGGUGUGAGGAGAGCGCGCCAUCUACCUACCCAGAGAGAGCAAGGCCAAUUGUGCUCUCUCAGGGCUCCGGUAGCUGAUGGCAAGCUGCAUGACCAGGAUUCAAACCAGCGAUCUCCUGAUCAUAGUGGCAGCACUUAGCCCAAGGUAUAAUUAUUUUAAAAUAUAAUUUUUAUGCUAAAUGUUAUGAAAAACUGUUUAUGAAUAUAUAAAGGUUUGUAUUUUUAUUAAUCAAAUGUAAAUCAAAGGAAUUUAUAUAUAUUUUUUAAAAAAUUGGUUCAGCAUCUAGCCAACAAAACUAUAUCUGGCCCACUUCUGGACCAUCGUUUCCUGUGGCAUAUGGGCCGAUAAUAAAUGCCGGAUGUGGUCCAGGUUGGUCCACAUUAAUGUUGUUAUCAGGGUGUGUGACAUUUAUUAAAGAACCACUUGAUGCAGUUUUAAUUUUUAAUAUGUGUUUCAGGCUAAAUUCAGACUGCCAGCACAAAUCUGAUUUUGCCAUAUCUAGAUUAUAUUCUGAUUGAUUUUUAAUAGACUAGGCAGCAACAAAUCAUGAGUUGGUUUACAAUCUGACCUGUAUGGUGGCUUUUUAGCGUCAUCUCAGCAGAUCUGAUUGGAGAAACAGCUCUGAUUCGCCUGCAGUCUAAACACAGCCUGAGACUAAGAAGUACCGUAUCCUACACACAGACUGAGGUCUGACUGAACAAAUAACUUAUUUUGUCAAAAUAAAUAUAUAGAGAUGAUCUAUUUUUGCUUUGGAUUAUUCAGAUGUUCUAAGUGAAUAUUUAUUGUGUACUUUUUUUUUGAGAAAAUAAAGAAAUUAGUAGUACAAGAUAAAGAAAGAGAGCAACAUAGCUGUAGAGGGUUUUAUUUUGCCUGCAGACGUUUGUUCCUUUCAGUCCUGUGCCACACUUUAUACUUUUUACCAAAUAAAGAACCACAGCGUUGUUAGAUCUCUCCUAUUCGUGCUUCACAAGAAGUCACCGAUAGUAAAAUGCAGAGAGGCGACAGCAAUGCUUAAAUACAUACCGGCUUAAAUACAUACACACGUGGUGUGGUGCGAGAUUGUGUGUGAGAUGAUGUAUCAGAACCGUGUGCCUGUAUGAACUGCUCUGAAAGCAGCAGGAGAGAGUUUGUUUUUCUUUAAACCUGAAUGAAUAUCUGCCAGAAUCCUGUUUCAAUAAAUAAUAUUAAACUGAUUUCAGUAUUUUAAGAACAA
This is a long non-coding RNA of Astyanax mexicanus (Mexican tetra), 2938 nucleotides long. RefSeq lists it as uncharacterized. The record is from RefSeq and is a predicted model, not a curated record. NCBI's taxonomy places the organism in Eukaryota, Metazoa, Chordata, Actinopteri, Characiformes, Acestrorhamphidae. The transcript is spliced from 3 exons.